Molecule: ribosomal RNA, 193 nt
Filed under: Salmonella enterica
Lineage: Bacteria; Pseudomonadati; Pseudomonadota; Gammaproteobacteria; Enterobacterales; Enterobacteriaceae
Description: partial 23S ribosomal RNA
Rfam family: Bacterial large subunit ribosomal RNA
Source: RNAcentral
UAAAUGCGGAAGAGAUAAGUGCUGAAAGCAUCUAAGCACGAAACUUGCCCCGAGAUGAGUUCUCCCUGAGACUUUAGGUCUCCUGAAGGAACGUUGAAGACGACGACGUUGAUAGGCCGGGUGUGUAAGCGCAGCGAUGCGUUGAGCUAACCGGUACUAAUGAACCGUGAGGCUUAACCUUACAACGCCGAAG